Molecule: ribosomal RNA, 317 nt
Filed under: Clostridioides difficile
Lineage: Bacteria; Bacillati; Bacillota; Clostridia; Peptostreptococcales; Peptostreptococcaceae
Description: bacterial LSU rRNA
Rfam family: Bacterial large subunit ribosomal RNA
Source: RNAcentral
AGAGGUAUCGUAAUUGAAGAGGUUUGGAAAGACCCACCACAGAAGGUAAUAGUCCUGUAUGUUAAACGAGAAGACUUUAGAUAUGAUCCAGAGUACCACGGGACACGUGAAACCCUGGGGGAAGCAGGAGGGACCACCCUCCAAGGCUAAAUACUACCUAGUGACCGAUAGCGUAUAGUACCGUGAGGGAAAGGUGAAAAGAACCCCGGGAGGGGAGUGAAAUAGAACCUGAAACCCUGCACUUACAAGCUGUGGAAGCACAUUUCUUGUGUGACCGCGUACUUUUUGUAGAACGGGCCAACGAGUUACGUUAAGUG